GGCUCGUUGGUCUAGGGGUAUGAUUCUCGCUUUGGUUGCGAGAGGUCCUGGGUUCCAAUCCUUGUUGAGCCC
Danionella cerebrum is the source of this 72-nucleotide non-coding RNA. Lineage: Eukaryota; Metazoa; Chordata; Actinopteri; Cypriniformes; Danionidae. The record is from the annotation of a GenBank genome assembly.